RNAcentral lists this ribosomal RNA (484 nucleotides) under uncultured bacterium. Its description in RNAcentral is "partial 16S ribosomal RNA". It matches the Rfam family "Bacterial small subunit ribosomal RNA", at positions 29 to 507 of the family's 1533-position model. The record is from RNAcentral.
AUUGAACGCUGGCGGCAUGCUUUACACAUGCAAGUCGAACGGCAGCGCGGGCUUCGGCCUGGCGGCGAGUGGCGAACGGGUGAGUAAUACAUCGGAACGUGCCCAGUAGUGGGGGAUAGCACGGCGAAAGCCGGAUUAAUACCGCAUACGACCUGAGGGUGAAAGCGGGGGAUCUUCGGACCUCGCGCUAUUGGAGCGGCCGAUGGCAGAUUAGCUAGUUGGUGGGGUAAAGGCCUACCAAGGCGACGAUCUGUAGCUGGUCUGAGAGGACGACCAGCCACACUGGGACUGAGACACGGCCCAGACUCCUACGGGAGGCAGCAGUGGGGAAUUUUGGACAAUGGGCGAAAGCCUGAUCCAGCAAUGCCGCGUGUGUGAUGAAGGCCUUCGGGUUGUAAAGCACUUUCGGCGGGAACGAAAAGGACUGUGCCAAUACCACGGUUCGAUGACGGUACCCGCAGAAUAAGCACCGGCUAACUACGUG